GCAAACUUGGUCAUUUAGAGGAAGUAAAAGUCGUAACAAGGUUUCCGUAGGUGAACCUGCGGAAGGAUCAUUAUUGAAGUUUGAAUCGGGUUGUCGCUGGCUUCUAGAAGCAUGUGCACGCCUGUUCAUCCCUCUUAUUCCCUUGUGCAUAUCUAGCUAGACUAUGGAUACACCUCGAGUGAAUCAAAAGCUCGGAUUUGUAGGGUUGGACCUAAUUGGUUGCUUCCCUUGCAUUUUCAUAGUCUAUGCCCCUUUAUAUACCCCUUUGUAUGAUUCUGAAUGUGUUUUGUGGGUUUUUAUGACCUAUAAAUAUCAAUACAACUUUCAACAACGGAUCUCUAGGCUCUCGCAUCGAUGAAGAACGCAGC
Molecule: unclassified non-coding RNA, 368 nt
Filed under: uncultured fungus
Lineage: Eukaryota; Fungi
Description: partial contains small subunit ribosomal RNA, internal transcribed spacer 1, and 5.8S ribosomal RNA
Rfam family: Eukaryotic small subunit ribosomal RNA (bases 1-73)
Source: RNAcentral